This 1008-nucleotide ribosomal RNA is filed under the name uncultured bacterium. Its description in RNAcentral is "bacterial SSU rRNA". It matches the Rfam family "Bacterial small subunit ribosomal RNA", at positions 8 to 1015 of the family's 1533-position model. The record is from RNAcentral.
AGAGUUUGAUCCUGGCUCAGAACGAACGCUGGCGGCGUGCUUAACACAUGCAAGUCGCGUGCGCAGUUCCUGUAGCAAUACAGGGAUGGGCGCACGGCGCACGGGUGCGUAACACGUGGGCAAUCUGCCCUCCGAUGGGGAAUAACCCCGCGAAAGCGGGGCUAAUUCCGCAUAACAUUCCUUGGACUCACGUUCGAGGAUUCAAAGCAGCAAUGCGUCGGAGGAGGAGCCCGCGCCCGAUUAGCUAGUUGGUGAGGUAACGGCUCACCAAGGCAAUGAUCGGUAGCUGGUCUGAGAGGAUGGCCAGCCACACUGGAACUGAGACACGGUCCAGACUCCUACGGGAGGCAGCAGUGGGGAAUCUUGCACAAUGGGCGAAAGCCUGAUGCAGCGACGCCGCGUGGGGGAUGAAGCUUUUCGGAGUGUAAACCCCUUUCGCCUGGGACGAAUGCCCGCAAGGGAGUGACGGUACCAGGAUAAGAAGCCCCGGCUAACUACGUGCCAGCAGCCGCGGUAAGACGUAGGGGGCCAGCGUUGUUCGGAAUUACUGGGUGUAAAGGGUUCGUAGGCGGUGCGGCAAGUUGGGAGUGAAAUCUCUGGGCUCAACCCAGAGGCUGCUUCCAAAACUGCUGUGCUUGAGUGUGAGAGAGGCUCGUGGAAUUGCAGGUGUAGCGGUGAAAUGCGUAGAUAUCUGCAGGAACACCCGUGGCGAAAGCGGCGAGCUGGAUCACUACUGACGCUGAGGAACGAAAGCUAGGGGAGCAAACAGGAUUAGAUACCCUGGUAGUCCUAGCCCUAAACGAUCAGGACUUGGGGUGCCGCCCGUUCGGGCGUCGUCCCGGAGCUAACGCGCUAAGUCCUGCACCUGGGGAGUACGGUCGCAAGACUGAAACUCAAAGGAAUUGACGGGGGCCCGCACAAGCGGUGGAACAUGUGGUCAAUUCGACGCUACGCGAGGAACUUACCUGGGCUCGAAAUGCUAGUGACAGCUGUAGAAAAUACGGCCUU